This 387-nucleotide ribosomal RNA is filed under the name uncultured bacterium. Its description in RNAcentral is "bacterial SSU rRNA". It matches the Rfam family "Bacterial small subunit ribosomal RNA", at positions 28 to 416 of the family's 1533-position model. The record is from RNAcentral.
GACGAACGCUGGCGGCGUGCUUAACACAUGCAAGUCGAGCGGUAAGGCCCUUUCGGGGGUACACGAGCGGCGAACGGGUGAGUAACACGUGGGUGACCUGCCCUCAGCUCUGGGAUAAGCCUGGGAAACUGGGUCUAAUACCGGAUAUGACUCCAUGACGCAUGUUGUGGGGUGGAAAGCCUUGUGCGGCUGAGGAUGGGCCCGCGGCCUAUCAGCUUGUUGGUGGGGUGAUGGCCUACCAAGGCGACGACGGGUAGCCGGCCUGAGGGGCGACCGGCCACACUGGGACUGAGACACGGCCCAGACUCCUACGGGAGGCAGGCAGUGGGGAAUCUUGCGCAAUGGGCGAAAGCCUGACGCAGCGACGCCGCGUGAGGGAUGACGGCC